AUUGAACGCUGGCGGCAGGCUUAACACAUGCAAGUCGAGCGGUAGCACAGGGGAGCUUGCUCCCUGGGUGACGAGCGGCGGACGGGUGAGUAAUGUCUGGGAAACUGCCUGAUGGAGGGGGAUAACUACUGGAAACGGUAGCUAAUACCGCAUAACGUCGCAAGAACAAAGAGGGGGACCUUCGGGCCUCUUGCCAUCAGAUGUUCCCAGAUGGGAUUAGCUAGUAGGUGGGGUAAUGGCUCACCUAGGCGACGAUCCCUAGCUGGUCUGAGAGGAUGACCAGCCACACUGGAACAGCGACACGGUCCAGACUCCUACGGGGGGCAGCAGUGGGGAAUAUUGCACAAUGGGCGCAAGCCUGAUGCAGCCAUGCCGCGUGUGUGAAGAAGGCCUUCGGGUUGUAAAGCACUUUCAGCGAGGAGGAAGGUGGUGAACUUAAUACGCUCAUCAAUUGACGUUACUCGCAGAAUAAGCACCGGCUAACUCCGUGCCAGCAGCCGCGGUAA
Molecule: ribosomal RNA, 506 nt
Filed under: uncultured bacterium
Lineage: Bacteria
Description: partial 16S ribosomal RNA
Rfam family: Bacterial small subunit ribosomal RNA
Source: RNAcentral